This 478-nucleotide ribosomal RNA is filed under the name uncultured bacterium. RNAcentral describes it as "partial 16S ribosomal RNA". It matches the Rfam family "Bacterial small subunit ribosomal RNA", at positions 28 to 523 of the family's 1533-position model. The record is from RNAcentral.
GACGAACGCUGGCGGCGUGCUUAACACAUGCAAGUCGAACGGUAAGGCCCUUCGGGGUACACGAGUGGCGAACGGGUGAGUAACACGUGGGUGAUCUGCCCUGCACUUCGGGAUAAGGCUGGGAAACUGGGUCUAAUACCGGAUAGGACCACGGCCUGCAGGGGUGGUGGGGGAAAGCUGUUGCGGUGGGGGAUGGGCCCGCGGUCUAUCAGCUUGUUGGUGGGGUGAUGGCCUACCAAGGCGACGACGGGUAGCCGGCCUGAGAGGGUGACCGGCCACACUGGGACUGAGAUACGGCCCAGACUCCUACGGGAGGCAGCAGUGGGGAAUAUUGCACAAUGGGCGCAAGCCUGAUGCAGCGACGCCGCGUGAGGGAUGACGGCCUUCGGGUUGUAAACCUCUUUCAGCACCGACGAAGCGCAAGUGACGGUAGGUGCAGAAGAAGGACCGGCCAACUACGUGCCAGCCGCCGCCGUAA